This is a long non-coding RNA of Oncorhynchus tshawytscha (Chinook salmon), 1012 nucleotides long. Lineage: Eukaryota; Metazoa; Chordata; Actinopteri; Salmoniformes; Salmonidae. The record is from Ensembl.
CAGUGAGCAUGUAUUUCUGUGUUCUAGGUAACAAUAGAGUUAGCAUGUAUUUCUGUGUUCUAGGUAACAACAGAGUUAGCAUGUAUUUCUGUGUUCUAGGUAACAACAGAGUUAGCAUGUAUUUCUCUGUGUUCUAGGUAACAACAGAGUUAGCAUGUAUUUCUGUGUUCUAGGUAACAAUAGAGUUAGCAUGUAUUUCUGUGUUCUAGGUAACAACAGAGUUAGCAUGUAUUUCUCUGUGUUCUUGCAGAUGUCGCCAAGACAAUGGAGAGAGUAAAGCGUAGGUUUUAGAUUGCUGGGUAAACACCGCCUCUUGCUAUCUACAUAAUAAACUAACAUGAACUAACUCUCUAUUUGCUACACCAGUAGCCUGAUGAAAACUCUUUCCUCUCUAAAGUAAAGUAGUGUUCUAAAGACAACUGUCUCUUUUACUGGUGCCAUAAUGAUAACUGUCUCUCUAGACUAGUGCCCUAAUGAUAAUCUAUCUCUAACUAGUGCCCUAAUGAUAACUGUCUCUUUAACUAGUGCCCUAAUGAUAUCUGUCUCUUUAACUAGUGCCCUAAUGAUAUCUGUCUCUUUAACUAGUGCCCUAAUGAUAUCUGUCUCUUUAACUAGUGCCCUAAUGAUAGCUGUCUCUUUAACUAGUGCCCUAAUGAUAGCUGUCUCUUUAACUAGUGCCCUAAUGAUAGCUGUCUCUUUAACUAGUGCCCUAAUGAUAUCUGUCUCUUUAACUAGUGCCCUAAUGAUAACUGUCUCUUUAACUAGUUCCCUAAUGAUAACUAUAUCUUUAACUAGUGCCCUAAUGAUAACUGUCUCUUUAACUAGUGCCAUAAUGAUAACUGUCGCUUUAACUAGUGCUCUAAUGAUAACUAUCUCUUUAACUAGUGCCCUAAUGAUAACUGUCGCUUUAACUAGUUCCCUAAUGAUAACUGUCUCUUUAACUAGUGCCCUAAUGGUAACUGUCUCUCUAGACUAGUGCCCUAAUGAUAACCUCUCUCUAGACUAGUGCCCC